This 468-nucleotide ribosomal RNA is filed under the name uncultured bacterium. RNAcentral describes it as "partial 16S ribosomal RNA". It matches the Rfam family "Bacterial small subunit ribosomal RNA", at positions 28 to 507 of the family's 1533-position model. The record is from RNAcentral.
GACGAACGCUGGCGGCGUGCUUAACACAUGCAAGUCGAACGGAAAGGCCCUGCUUUUGUGGGGUGCUCGAGUGGCGAACGGGUGAGUAACACGUGAGUAACCUGCCCUUGACUUUGGGAUAACUUCAGGAAACUGGGGCUAAUACCGGAUAGGAGCUCCUGCUGCAUGGUGGGGGUUGGAAAGUUUCGGCGGUUGGGGAUGGACUCGCGGCUUAUCAGCUUGUUGGUGGGGUAGUGGCUUACCAAGGCUUUGACGGGUAGGCGGCCUGAGAGGGUGACCGGCCACAUUGGGACUGAGAUACGGCCCAGACUCCUACGGGAGGCAGCAGUGGGGAAUAUUGCACAAUGGGCGGAAGCCUGAUGCAGCAACGCCGCGUGCGGGAUGACGCCCUUCGGGUUGUAAACCGCUUUCGCCUGUGACGAAGCGUGAGUGACGGUAAUGGGUAAAGAAGCACCGGCUAACUACGUG